AUACGUAGGUGGCAAGCGUUGUCCGGAUUUACUGGGUGUAAAGGGUGCGUAGGCGGGGCAGCAAGGUGGAUGUGAAAUCCUCGGGCUCAACUCGAGAACUGCAUUCAAAACUGUUGCUCUUGAGUGCAGUAGAGGCAAGCGGAAUUCCCGGUGUAGCGGUGAAAUGCGCAGAGAUCGGGAGGAACACCAGUGGCGAAGGCGGCUUGCUGGGCUGUUACUGACGCUGAGGCACGAAAGCAUGGGUAGCAAACAGGAUUAGAUACCCUGGUAGUCCAUGCUGUAAACGAUGAUUACUAGGUGUGGGUGGACUGACCCCAUCCGUGCCGGAGUUAACACAUUAAGUAAUCCACCUGGGGAGUACGGCCGCAAGGUUGAAACUCAAAUGAAUUGACGGGG
RNAcentral lists this ribosomal RNA (396 nucleotides) under uncultured bacterium. RNAcentral describes it as "partial 16S ribosomal RNA". It matches the Rfam family "Bacterial small subunit ribosomal RNA", at positions 523 to 918 of the family's 1533-position model. The record is from RNAcentral.